CUUUAUUGGAGAGUUUGAUCCUGGCUCAGGACGAACGCUGGCGGCGUGCCUAAUACAUGCAAGUCGAGCGGACUUGAGGGAGCUUGCUCCCGAUGGUCAGCGGCGGACGGGUGAGUAACACGUGGGCAACCUGCCUGUAAGACUGGGAUAACUCCGGGAAACCGGGGCUAAUACCGGAUAAUUCAUUCCCUCACAUGAGGGAAUGCUGAAAGACGGCUUUUGCUGUCACUUACAGAUGGGCCCGCGGCGCAUUAGCUAGUUGGUGAGGUAACGGCUCACCAAGGCCACGAUGCGUAGCCGACCUGAGAGGGUGAUCGGCCACACUGGGACUGAGACACGGCCCAGACUCCUACGGGAGGCAGCAGUAGGGAAUCUUCCGCAAUGGACGAAAGUCUGACGGAGCAACGCCGCGUGAGCGAAGAAGGCCUUCGGGUCGUAAAGCUCUGUUGUCAGGGAAGAACAAGUACCGGAGUAACUGCCGGUACCUUGACGGUACCUGACCAGAAAGCCACGGCUAACUACGUGCCAGCAGC
This 533-nucleotide ribosomal RNA is filed under the name Mesobacillus campisalis. RNAcentral's name for it is "bacterial SSU rRNA". It matches the Rfam family "Bacterial small subunit ribosomal RNA", at positions 1 to 515 of the family's 1533-position model. The record is from RNAcentral. Lineage: Bacteria; Bacillati; Bacillota; Bacilli; Caryophanales; Bacillaceae.